CCUACGGGAGGCAGCAGUGGGGAAUUUUGGACAAUGGGCGCAAGCCUGAUCCAGCCAUUCCGCGUGCAGGAUGAAGGCCCUCGGGUUGUAAACUGCUUUUGUACGGAACGAAAAGGCUCUGGUUAAUACCUGGGGCUCAUGACGGUACCGUAAGAAUAAGCACCGGCUAACUACGUGCCAGCAGCCGCGGUAAU
RNAcentral lists this ribosomal RNA (194 nucleotides) under uncultured Ramlibacter sp. Its description in RNAcentral is "partial 16S ribosomal RNA". It matches the Rfam family "Bacterial small subunit ribosomal RNA", at positions 338 to 524 of the family's 1533-position model. The record is from RNAcentral. Lineage: Bacteria; Pseudomonadati; Pseudomonadota; Betaproteobacteria; Burkholderiales; Comamonadaceae.